CUCGUGCCUCCGCCAAGGACACCGAGAGGUUUCUUGAGGCGCAAGGUCCUUCGCCGAGUGACGCCACACCGUGUCCAGGCUGCAGAACGGCGCUGUAGCACGCGGAUCUGGGGCACCAGCUGAAAUCAAUUAGGGCACUAUAGCAACCACCCAAGGACUCGGUGACGGAUGGGCCUCAUGUAUUUAUAGCUGAGUUGUGUUGCAUCAGACACUUUCCCUGCGUCAGAUGAGGUUUUGGCGCACACGUAGGACGUCACCGGCGUGCACAGACGGCCAUGGGCGGGACAGUUUGCAAGCACGAGUCCCACAGACCACAUCAUCAGUAUAAGAACACACACGGAACUCAGGGAGGCCUCUGAAUCGUGUGUGGGCCUCGUUUUCCCUGCUUGAGAAAACCGAUCUGUUUUAAACACGUGCUAAAUAUUACCAUAUUUACAUUUUCCUGUUUGGGAAGGCAGAGAGGGAGUGGGGGGUGCAGACAGAAGAGGUCUCGCACCAGGGUUAGGCGCUGCUUGAAACUGGAAACCCUUUCUGGCUUAUUUGUUUUAUGAUUCUGCAGGAUUCUGUGUUUACACUCAAAGUGCAACAUCUGGAUCAGAUAAUUUGUUGUGAAUUAACCGCCACAGGACACUUACCAACCCCAUCUGAUUCAAUAGGAUUAUAUCUGUUUGAUGGCUUCGCUUGGUUUUUACCAAAUAUUUUCCUAUUGUCAGCAUAUCAGCACGAGAUUUGCAUGGGAGAUGAAGGUUGGGUACUGCAGCGCCACACACACACAUCUAAUUAAAUCCUGGGCUUUUGAUCUGUAAUGGUUCAUUUCAAACUAAAGUGAUUGGUGGCUUUGUGCCGGCAGCCCUGUGCGGUCCAGAGGUCAUGGCAGGAAACA
This is a non-coding RNA of Electrophorus electricus (electric eel), 883 nucleotides long. Lineage: Eukaryota; Metazoa; Chordata; Actinopteri; Gymnotiformes; Gymnotidae. The record is from RefSeq and is a predicted model, not a curated record.